AACGAACGCUGGCGGCAGGCUUAACACAUGCAAGUCGAGCGCAUCCUUCGGGGUGAGCGGCAGACGGGUGAGUAACGCGUGGGAAUCUACCUUUUGCUACGGAAUAGCUCCGGGAAACUGGAAUUAAUGCCGUAUGUGCCCUUAGGGGGAAAGAUUUAUCGGCAAGAGAUGAGCCCGCGUUGGAUUAGCUAGUUGGUGGGGUAAAGGCCUACCAAGGCGACGAUCCAUAGCUGGUCUGAGAGGAUGAUCAGCCACAUUGGGACUGAGACACGGCCCAAACUCCUACGGGAGGCAGCAGUGGGGAAUAUUGGACAAUGGGCGCAAGCCUGAUCCAGCCAUGCCGCGUGAGUGAUGAAGGCCUUAGGGUUGUAAAGCUCUUUCACCGGAGAAGAUAAUGACGGUAUCCGGAGAAGAAGCCCCGGCUAACUUCGUG
This 433-nucleotide ribosomal RNA is filed under the name uncultured bacterium. Its description in RNAcentral is "partial 16S ribosomal RNA". It matches the Rfam family "Bacterial small subunit ribosomal RNA", at positions 29 to 507 of the family's 1533-position model. The record is from RNAcentral.